Molecule: non-coding RNA, 30 nt
Organism: Caloranaerobacter azorensis H53214
Lineage: Bacteria; Bacillati; Bacillota; Tissierellia; Tissierellales; Thermohalobacteraceae
Source: Rfam
GUUUCAAUUCCUCAUAGGUACAUUAUAAAC